UAGUAGCUAGCUAGAAAUUGCGCAAAAAAUAUUUUUUCAAAGAUUUCAAAGGAAAGUAGACAAUGAAUGGUGUUCCAGCAUGAGUGGACAUCAAAAUAUUUUCUUUAUUGAGGUAUCAGGGAAAGCUGUGUGCAAAGAGAGCAUUGUUGCCUUGAAAGACUACAACUGAAAAGAAAAACUACAAUAGUCCCGACACUUCCAGAUGAGGCAUGCAGAGAAUUUUAGGAGUAUGUCUUCUGAGCAGAGGGCAAGUGCAUCGAAAGAUUUGCUUUCUCAGUUGCAAAAGCAGCACGGACUUUUCACAAAACUGUAUUCAGCAAACGACGGAAAUGCGAGAGAUAGCUAUGUACUGUCCCACAAAAUUGCUAAACAUAGCAAGCCAUUCACUGAGGGCGAAUUAAAUACAGAAUGUUUAAUUCACUCCGCAGCAAUACUUUGCCCCGACAAGAAAGAGCUGUUUGAAAAUGUUUCCCUGUCAAGACGAACAGUGACCCGGCGUGUUGAGGACAUCGCAGAGAAUAUGGAACAACAGUUGAAAGACAAGUUCCGUCUGCUCUGACUCUGGUCCCUGUCGCCAGUCCCUCGUCUCGUCAAUCCUGCUUCCCUGCCCUGGACCCCUGCUCUACUGCUUCCUUGGAUUCCGCUCCAGACCUGCUUACCCUGCCCCUACUCCCCUUACCCCAGCCUCAGUUCCUGGUUCACUGCUACCCGCCCGAGCUCCCCCUGGCCUGCACCCCAUCUCCCCCAGCUUUUCAAUAAAUACCUUGGUAACCUUA
Oncorhynchus kisutch (coho salmon) is the source of this 776-nucleotide long non-coding RNA. RefSeq lists it as uncharacterized. The record is from RefSeq and is a predicted model, not a curated record. Lineage: Eukaryota; Metazoa; Chordata; Actinopteri; Salmoniformes; Salmonidae. The transcript is spliced from 2 exons.